Long non-coding RNA from Macadamia integrifolia, 560 nucleotides. RefSeq lists it as uncharacterized. The record is from RefSeq and is a predicted model, not a curated record. The transcript has 2 exons. NCBI's taxonomy places the organism in Eukaryota, Viridiplantae, Streptophyta, Magnoliopsida, Proteales, Proteaceae.
GAUGCUGACGGCGUGGUUCUUCAAGCACUCUCGGUAUCUGGUCGCUGUUUUCCUCCGGGACGACAUGGUUUCCCCAACACCUGUGCUUCCCAUUUUGGGUCUCGAUGAGAUCCCCAGCGAUUCGUAGCCCCCCGAUACUGGUAAAGGUAAAGAAGACUAAAGAGAAUAAGCUGGAUCACAUGGGGGCGAUGAUCAGAGAGAAGACAGAUCCGCCACCGGCCCUACCACCGCCGGCGAUGAAGCUUCUGUCAAUUUUCCAACUCUACCCUUUUUUUUCUGCAUAUCCUGCAAGACCUUUUCUUUUGUUGCCCAGAGAAGAUAAGAAGAGGAGAGUGUGGUCAUCAAUUCCCCGCCUGCAAAAAGGGCAGUCUUCCUCAUAAGCCUUUCAUAUACUUUCCGUUUCUGAAAUAUCUCUCUCCACUCUCCCCCAAAAUGAAAGGCAAAAGUUUUUAUGGACGGACUCGUCUUGUGAUCCAUUUUAUUAUGCCAUUUAGAUAAAUUAUAUGGCAAUUUAAAUUGUUAAAUAUUUAAUAAAUGAUUUUUAUUAGUUGCUUGUAAAA